UCCCAGGUGGUUCAGAUGGUAAAGAAAUCUGCCUGCAAGGCAGAAGACCCAGGUUUGAUCCCUGGGUUGGGAA
RNAcentral lists this transfer RNA (73 nucleotides) under Ovis aries (sheep). It matches the Rfam family "tRNA". Rfam says of the family: Transfer RNA (tRNA) molecules are approximately 80 nucleotides in length. Lineage: Eukaryota; Metazoa; Chordata; Mammalia; Artiodactyla; Bovidae. The record is from Rfam by way of RNAcentral.